CAAUAGUGUAUAUUAAAGUUGUUGCAGUUAAAAAGCUCGUAGUUGGAUUUCUGGGAGGGUGCCAAUGUCCGCUGAGGCGUGUGCAGCGGCGCCCUUCCAUCCUUCUGUUAACGUUUCAUGGUAUUCAGUUACUGGUUUCGGGCUCAGAUAUUUUACCUUGAGAAAAUUAGAGUGUUUCAGGCAGGCUUGCGCCGGAAUACAUUAGCAUGGAAUAAUAGAAUAGGACUUUAGUCUCUUUUGUUGGUUUGAGGGGCUGAAGUAAUGAUUAAUAGGGAUAGUUGGGGGCAUUAGUAUUUAAUUGUCAGAGGUGAAAUUCUCGGAUUUGUUAAAGACUAACUUAUGCGAAAGCAUUUGCCAAGGAUGUUUNCAUUAA
This 373-nucleotide ribosomal RNA is filed under the name uncultured eukaryote. Its description in RNAcentral is "partial 18S ribosomal RNA". It matches the Rfam family "Eukaryotic small subunit ribosomal RNA", at positions 592 to 976 of the family's 1831-position model. The record is from RNAcentral.